AUGUUUGACGGAGUUGAGCGGAUGCUUCGGGGAGUCAGGCAUGUGCCAGGGCUAAGGAGGAAUCUAAUUUCGCUUGGCGUUCUUCAUGAUGGUGGUAUGGUAUUCCGUUGUGAUCGGGAUAAGAAGACCAUGAGAAUCAUGGAAGAUGAGGUGACCGUGAUGAUUGGAGUGAGGACGGCUUCGCAUCUUUACAAGUUGCAAGGGAGCACUAUUGCAGGUGGAGUCACGGAGACUGGAGUUGCGGGAGUAGCAGCGGGGCCUCACGGUGGCGGCGGGUCUGGGGCAGACUCGUCGAGUAGCUCUCAGUAA
RNAcentral lists this ribosomal RNA (309 nucleotides) under Triticum aestivum (bread wheat). RNAcentral's name for it is "partial small subunit ribosomal RNA". The record is from RNAcentral. Lineage: Eukaryota; Viridiplantae; Streptophyta; Magnoliopsida; Poales; Poaceae.